ACCAGACUCCUACGGGAGGCAGCAGUGGGGGAUAUUGCACAAUGGGGGGAACCCUGAUGCAGCGACGCCGCGUGGGCGAAGAAGCGCCUCGGCGCGUAAAGCCCUGUCAGCAGGGAAGAAAAUGACGGUACCUGAAGAAGAAGCCCCGGCUAACUACGUGCCAGCAGCCGCGGUAAUACGUAGGGGGCAAGCGUUAUCCGGAUUUACUGGGUGUAAAGGGGGCGCAGACGGCGAUGCAAGCCAGGAGUGAAAGCCCGGGGCCCAACCCCGGGACUGCUCUUGGAACUGCGUGGCUGGAGUGCAGGAGGGGCAGGCGGAAUUCCUGGUGUAGCGGUGAAAUGCGUAGAUAUCAGGAGGAACACCGGUGGCGAAGGCGGCCUGCUGGACUGCAACUGACGUUGAGGCCCGAAAGCGUGGGGAGCAAACAGGAUUAGAUACCCCGGUAC
RNAcentral lists this ribosomal RNA (446 nucleotides) under uncultured bacterium. Its description in RNAcentral is "partial 16S ribosomal RNA". It matches the Rfam family "Bacterial small subunit ribosomal RNA", at positions 330 to 793 of the family's 1533-position model. The record is from RNAcentral.